GCCUUCUAAACAAUGUUUACCAAUAAACAUAUAAAGUUGAACAGCAGUAAUAAAUGAGGAGCUAUCGUUAAAUAACAUUUCCGUGGACCAAGAGCACCAGAGGCUCCUAUCCUCCCAAUCACCAACACCAUAUCCUCGCCCGAAACAUGGAACCAUACAAGUUUAUUAAAACAUUACUCAGUAAACCUCCACAUGCCACUGCUUGUUCUUUUUCAGCUGCAAGAGCUUCUCCUCCCACUUCUCUCCCCUCAGCUCCGCAACCCUCUUCAGUGUGUCCUGAA
RNAcentral lists this unclassified non-coding RNA (281 nucleotides) under Hevea brasiliensis (rubber tree). Lineage: Eukaryota; Viridiplantae; Streptophyta; Magnoliopsida; Malpighiales; Euphorbiaceae. The record is from RNAcentral.